Molecule: long non-coding RNA, 3624 nt
Filed under: Nicotiana tabacum (common tobacco)
Lineage: Eukaryota; Viridiplantae; Streptophyta; Magnoliopsida; Solanales; Solanaceae
Description: long non-coding RNA (NTAB_LNC014576)
Source: RNAcentral
UGAAAAGAAGGGGGGAGAGGAAAAAAAGUUUCGUAGCCUUUUGAAAAAGGGACGAUCCCUUUCGUUUUCUUCUGGAGAAAUCAACACCAAAAGAAACGAUCCCACCCCCCUUUGGAUCGUCUUCUUCACGAAACCACCCCGCCCCUCUCCCAGUCGUUAUCCUUCGAACACGACCCCCCCUCUCCAUCGAUCUGGAAUUCUUUUUCUCCAAAUCCUUUCACUAACCUAACGACCGGAGGGAUAAAGAAAAACAAAGCAAUUGCAGCUUCUUCAAUUCCUCUCGCCCACCAGCGGCGAACUCGCCAAAACACACACAUACAGCUUCCUUCUUGCUUCUUCUUCAGCAACCAAGACAAAGCCAUCGCUCCGACCCCUGAACGCUAAUCGUCAAACGACCCCAUAUCUGCCUGAAAUUCGCCGGAAAAACGAGCUCCACCAAUUGUCGGACUAAUGAGUUCCAGACGCGACCCCUUCCUCAAGUGACCAAACUAGCUUCUUCAUCACCAUAGCUAGCCGGGAGUCUAAUGACAUCCUUCGAGCUCUAGAACUAACGAACAAAGGUGCUGAAAAUAGUGAGGAGUCGCAAAACUCAUUUAACACCCUUUUCCGGCGAGUCUCGAGUUUCUGGUUGAGCUUCGAUGACUGAGUUUCAACGACUGUUUCCCUUGGUUCCUUGUCGAAGUCCGUUCACUGGUUCCAUUUAGUUUAAAGGUCCGAUAGCUGUUCUUCGAGUUGAAAUUUAGAGUUGUUCGUUGUUGAUUGCCGGAUUUGUUGGCUGUUGUUGGCUGAGCUUCGAUUUCAAGUAGUUGGAUGCCUGUUCCCAUCAUAUUUGCCCAAUUGCAUUGAGUCGCCUGAAUUUGUUAUUACUAAUUGCUUCCUGGCUUCACUGCAAUCUACAGCCGAACCUUUUUCCUCAGGUGUGUGUUUGACCUUUUCUCUGUUUCGAAGCAGAGUAUUUACUCUGUUUGGAGACUGUGUGUGUUCUGCUGCAGCUGCUGCAUAAGUGAUCAAAAUUUUAUUCCUUUGGUCAUUUGAACAUAAUGUAAUUGCUGUAGCUGUUUCGAUGCUUUUCUUUAUUGAGUCUGCAUUUGCAGCUGAUACAUAUUCCUCCCUCCCGCUUUCAAUUUUAGACUGAGUGACAUUCUCCAUUUUUGCCAUUGGAUCAGUGUUAACAACAUUUCCAUUUGAAUUGCAUUAUAACUAUUUCAGUGAUGGAGUUUAAUGAGAAAUUGAUAAAUUUGUUUGGUUAGUGAUUAUUUAGAUCCACAUUGUCUAAAAUGGAUUUGGCUUUUAAAGGAAAGAUAAUUUUGGAAAGAACAGUGAAUUGCCUUAGAAUCAUGCAGGUUAAUCAGAAACUGGUUUGAGUUUAAACGCGAAAGAGAAAUUAGACUUUAAAGGUUUUAUUGCUUCUGUAUUAUUGUUUUACUAGCUAGCAAUACGUUUCUGAGCCAUGGGACUUGGACUUAAUAUUUUUAAGAAUUUGAGUUGAAAUGACCAUGAAUUGAACUUUUAUUUUAUUAUUUUUUUUAUUUCUACUUUUCUUGUUAACCAUUAGCAACAUCUUUAGUCCGAGGUGAGCCAUUCACAAUUUAAUAAAACAUGGCCCUCGUAUUAAUUUCAUAACCUAGAUAUAAAAAUGACAAUGGUUCGUAGUUUGCUUUUGGCACGUUUAAUAUACUAUCGUGGUUGUGGACACGUUCACGUGACAUGGUUACGAUUUUCUAAAAAUAAAACCGGAGUAUGCGUUCGCGCAACUUUGACCAAAUAUUCUUAAUAAUAAUAAAUCAUUAUUAAUUAUGGACACGUUCGCGUGACAUGAUUUUUGACAUGCCAAACAAACGGGUACACGUACGCGUGACUUGUUUCAAGAUGUUUUCUUAAUUAAAAGAGUUAAAAGCACAUAGGUUCUAAAACGAGUAAUUAAACAAUUUUAAUAAGCCAAGUAUGAUCAAAGCGACCGUGCUAGAACCACGGAACUCGGGAGUGCCUAACACCUUCUCCCGGGUUAACAGAAUUCCUUACCCGGAUUUUUGUGUUCGCAGACUAUAGUACAAAGUCAAUCUUUUCCUCGAUUCGGGAUUCGAACCGGUGACUUGGGACACCAUAAAUUAUCCCAAGUGGCGACUCUGAAUUUUUAAACAAACAAAUCCCGUUUCGACUGUCCUUUAAUUGGAAAAACUCCCUUAUAUUUAUACCCUUUGCGGGGUGUAGUAAAAAAGGAGGUGUGACAGCUCUGGCGACUCUGCUGGGGACCGAACCCAGAAUCUCUUGUUCAGGGUUCAAGAAUUCGAGCUUGUUAAUGAUUUUUACUUGGCUUCAUUUAUUGUUAAUAUUACUGUAUUCUGUGAAUCUUUUGUGCUAAAUGUUAUUUGUUUACUGCUUUAUUAUUGUUUGAAUUGUAUAUAAAUGUUUUCUUACGCCACCUCUCUGAGUCUUCUGAAAAUGGUGCACACGUUCGCGUGGCGCGCUUUUUCUAUAGAAAUUAUACCAAAUAGAACGAGGCUGGGCAAGCGACAAGGCCGGGUAGACUUCAGUGCUCCCGAUACGUCGCCCCCUCUUCGGCCUCAAUUGUCUGCUCGGGUACCCAAGUCUAGACCAAAACCCCAGGAUUUAAACCUAGAAAAUCAUAGCUUCAUGCCGGAUCCCUAGUAGGAACGCUUGUUUGCAUCGCGUGCAUUUGACUUAGGGGACUCAACAUAGGGGUUGGGUCCGUCUAGGACAGGUGUACCCAAAAUAACAGACCAUCUUGAUACAUCCUAUAUGCUACAUGUUGCAUUUCUUCAAGGGUAAAAGAGUCAUUUGGCAGACCAAUGAUAGUUGAGGGCAAAUAAAAAAAGAAUAAAAAGAGGGUGAAGUGUGAAAAUAAAGCGAGUAGGGCCCAAUUAUAUUUUCUGUCACAUUUUUGUUAAGAAUUAAAAAAAAAGAGCUUGAAAAUUCAAAAAAAAGAGAUUUUGCACUUUUUCAUCAUUUUUUCGAAAAAUACAAAAAAAUGGAAAAAGGAAAUUCAAAAGGAGUUUACAUGUAUCAUCAUUUUUCAAAAAAAAAAAAUAUAUUUUCUUUAAAAUUAGUCGUUUUUUUAAAAUUCUUGCCCGUAUCCAAUCGGCCUGAACUACGCAUACCUGAUUCUCGUCUUUCGGGGCGUGAUACGUAGGCAACCCACAUAGGGUUCAGUCUUCCUAGUAAAUCUUAGGUUCUUGGCUUCGCGGGGUCUUAGCCAAAUCUUGCAUUUUUAGCCAUUUUUAGCCACAUAGGUUAAUUUUAGAAAAUAGCCACAACCAUGUCUUGCACGUGUCUAGUAGAAAAUGUUAUUGUCUCACAUAGUGAUGGUUUUAGUUUUCUCAUACAGAUGCGGAUUUAUUUACCGGAGUUUGAGCAUGACAGAUUCCCCGUGACCAUCCAGUCAGAAUCGCUCAGUCAGGAGUUGCUUAAGGAGAUUUGUUUUAUUUUUAUGUUUUGAGUUUGUUCUUCAUUUUAUGUUAUCUUUUACUUUCUAGUUUUGUACAGUAAUGUCAAGUCUUUUGUUAUUUUAUUUUCUGCUUUAUAUUUGAAAAAAUGUGUUGUAACUCAAAAAUCCAAAAAAGUGAUGUUGCAUUUAUAUUUCCGUUAUAAGUUUUCUUUAGAAUA